GUAGGUGGCAAACGUUGUCCGGAAUUACUAGACAUAAAGCGCGCGCAGGCGGUCCUCUAAAUCUGACAUGAAAGCCCACGGCUCAACCGUGGAGGGUCAUUGGAAACUGGGGGGACUUGAGUACAGAAGAGGAAAGCGGAAUUCCAAGUGUAGCGGUGAAAUGCGUAGAGAUUUGGAGGAACACCAGUGGCGAAGGCGGCUUUCUGGUCUGUAACUGACGCUGAGGCGCGAAAGCGUGGGGAGCAAACAGGAUUAGAUACCCUGGUAGUCCACGCCGUAAACGAUGAGUGCUAAGUGUUAGGGGGUUUCCGCCCCCCUUAGUGCUGCAGCUAACGCAUUAAGCACUCCGCCUGGGAGUACGGCCGCAAGGCUG
RNAcentral lists this ribosomal RNA (373 nucleotides) under uncultured organism. RNAcentral's name for it is "partial 16S ribosomal RNA". It matches the Rfam family "Bacterial small subunit ribosomal RNA", at positions 527 to 896 of the family's 1533-position model. The record is from RNAcentral.